Molecule: ribosomal RNA, 253 nt
Filed under: uncultured bacterium
Lineage: Bacteria
Description: partial 16S ribosomal RNA
Rfam family: Bacterial small subunit ribosomal RNA
Source: RNAcentral
UACGUAGGGGGCAAGCGUUGUCCGGAUUUAUUGGGCGUAAAGAGCGUGUAGGCGGCCAUGCAGGUCCGUUGUGAAAACUCGAGGCUCAACCUCGAGACGUCGGUUGAAACCACCUGGCUAGAGUCCGGAAGAGGAGAGUGGAAUUCCCGGUGUAGCGGUGAAAUGCGCAGAUAUCGGGAGGAACACCAAUGGCGAAGGCAGCACUCUGGGACGGUACUGACGCUGAGACGCGAAAGCGUGGGGAGCAAACAGG